AACGAACGCUGGCGGCAUGCCUAACACAUGCAAGUCGAACGAGACCUUCGGGUCUAGUGGCGCACGGGUGCGUAACGCGUGGGAACCUGCCCUUAGGUUCGGAAUAACUCCCCGAAAGGGGUGCUAAUACCGGAUAAUGUCUUCGGACCAAAGAUUUAUUGCCUUUGGAUGGGCCCGCGUUGGAUUAGCUAGUUGGUAGGGUAAAAGCCUCCCAAGGCGACGAUCCAUAGCUGGUCUGAGAGGAUGAUUAGCCACACUGGGACGGAGACACGGCCCAGACUCCUACGGGAGGCAGCAGUGGGGAAUAUUGGACCACGGGCGAAAGCCUGAUCCUGCAAUGCCGCGUGAGUGAUGAAGGCCUUAGAGUUGUAAAGCUCUUUUACCCGGGAUGAUAAUGACAGUACCGGGAGAAUAAGCCCCGGCUAACUCCGUG
RNAcentral lists this ribosomal RNA (433 nucleotides) under uncultured bacterium. RNAcentral describes it as "partial 16S ribosomal RNA". It matches the Rfam family "Bacterial small subunit ribosomal RNA", at positions 29 to 507 of the family's 1533-position model. The record is from RNAcentral.